Molecule: ribosomal RNA, 253 nt
Filed under: uncultured bacterium
Lineage: Bacteria
Description: partial 16S ribosomal RNA
Rfam family: Bacterial small subunit ribosomal RNA
Source: RNAcentral
CACGGGGGGAGCAAGCGUUGUUCGGAAUCACUGGGCGUAAAGGGCGUGUAGGCGGUCAAGUAAGUGGAAUGUGAAACGCCUCGGCUUACCCGAGGACCUGCAUCCCAAACUGCUUGGCUUGAGUAUGGGAGAGGAUGAGGGAAUUCCCGGUGUAGAGGUGAAAUUCGUAGAUAUCGGGAGGAACACCGGUGGCGAAGGCGGCGACCUGGGUAGAUACUGACGCUGAGGCGCGAAAGCGUGGGGAGCAAACAGG